AGAGCUCAAAUUUGAAAUCUGGUGGCCUCAGGUCAUCCGAGUUGUAAUCUAUAGAAGUGUUUUCCGUGCUGGCCCAUGUACAAGUCCCUUGGAACAGGGCGUCAUAGAGGGUGAGAAUCCCGUCCUUGACAUGGACUACCAGUGCUCUGUGAUACACUUUCAACGAGUCGAGUUGUUUGGGAAUGCAGCUCAAAAUGGGUGGUAAAUUCCAUCUAAAGCUAAAUAUUGGCGAGAGACCGAUAGCGAACAAGUACCGUGAGGGAAAGAUGAAAAGCACUUUGGAAAGAGAGUUAAACAGUAUGUGAAAUUGUUGAAAGGGAAACGAUUGAAGUCAGUCGUGCUCAAUGGACUCAGCCGUUCUGCGGUGUAUUUCCAUUGGGUGGGGUCAACAUCAGUUUUGAUCGCUGGAUAAAGGCAGGAGGAAUGUAGCACCCCCGGGUGAACUUAUAGCCUCUUGUCACAUACAGUGGUUGGGACUGAGGAACGCAGCAUGCCUUUAUGGCCGGGAUUCGUCCACGUACAUGCUUAGGAUGUUGACAUAAUGGCUUUAAACGACCCGUCUUGAAACCACGGAACCA
This 578-nucleotide ribosomal RNA is filed under the name Filobasidium uniguttulatum. RNAcentral's name for it is "partial large subunit ribosomal RNA". It matches the Rfam family "Eukaryotic large subunit ribosomal RNA", at positions 104 to 669 of the family's 3401-position model. The record is from RNAcentral. Lineage: Eukaryota; Fungi; Basidiomycota; Tremellomycetes; Filobasidiales; Filobasidiaceae.